CAACCGAUGUAGUGAUACAUAACUGAACUGUCAGAAGUCAGCAGAAGCCAUAGUAUUGGGCUAGGUUAACAUAGCCUAAGAAGGGC
Molecule: non-coding RNA, 86 nt
Organism: Thermotalea metallivorans
Lineage: Bacteria; Bacillati; Bacillota; Clostridia; Peptostreptococcales; Thermotaleaceae
Source: Rfam